RNAcentral lists this ribosomal RNA (409 nucleotides) under uncultured bacterium. Its description in RNAcentral is "bacterial SSU rRNA". It matches the Rfam family "Bacterial small subunit ribosomal RNA", at positions 29 to 420 of the family's 1533-position model. The record is from RNAcentral.
AACGAACGCUGGCGGCGUGGAUAAGACAUGCAAGUCGAACGGGAACUUCAGCUGUAGCAAUACAGUUGAAGUUUUAGUGGCGAACGGGUGCGUAACACGUGGGCAAUCUGCCGAGAAGUGGGGGAUAGCUCGCCGAAAGGCGAAUUAAUACCGCAUAUGAUCAGCUAAGACAUCUUAGCGACAUCAAAGCCGGGGCAACCUGGCGCUUUUUGUAGGAGCCCGCGGCCUAUCAGCUUGUUGGUGGGGUGAUGGCCUACCAAGGCGACGACGGGUAGCCGGCCUGAGAGGGUGUCCGGCCACACUGGGACUGAGAUACGGCCCAGACUCCUACGGGAGGCAGCAGUGGGGAAUAUUGUACAAUGGGCGCAAGCCUGAUGCAGCGACGCCGCGUGAGGGAUGACGGCCUGUU